This is a ribosomal RNA of Cavia porcellus (domestic guinea pig), 119 nucleotides long. NCBI's taxonomy places the organism in Eukaryota, Metazoa, Chordata, Mammalia, Rodentia, Caviidae. The record is from Rfam.
GUCUACGGCCAUACCACUCUGAACACGCCCGAUCUCGUCUGAUCUCGGAAGCUAAGCAGGGUCGGGCCUGGUUAGUACUUGGAUGGGAGAAAUCACUGAAGUUACGCGGUGUGUUUAUG